CCUACGGGAGGCAGCAGUGGGGAAUAUUGGGCAAUGGGCGAAAGCCUGACCCAGCGACGCCGCGUGAGGGACGAAGGCCUUCGGGUUGUAAACCUCUUUCAGCAGGGAAGAAGCGAAAGUGACGGUACCUGCAGAAGAAGCACCGGCUAACUACGUGCCAGCAGCCGCGGUAAUACGUAGGGUGCAAGCGUUGUCCGGAAUUAUUGGGCGUAAAGAGCUCGUAGGUGGUUUGCCACGUCGGAUGUGAAAACCUGAGGCUUAACCUCAGGCCUGCAUUCGAUACGGGCAGACUAGAGUGUGGUAGGGGAGACUGGAAUUCCUGGUGUAGCGGUGAAAUGCGCAGAUAUCAGGAGGAACACCGGUGGCGAAGGCGGGUCUCUGGGCCAUAACUGACACUGAGGAGCGAAAGCGUGGGGAGCAAACAGGAUUAGAUACCCUGGUAAGUCCACGCCGUAAACGGUGGGCACUAGAUGUGGGGACCUUCCACGGUCUCUGCGUCGCNGCUACGCAUAAGUGCCCGCCGUCGGGAGGUACGGCCGCGACGACGUAAACUACAAAUAGAAGUUAGACGGACGUGAGACGUGCCGAACGGACGACGACGAGGGAGGAGG
This 611-nucleotide ribosomal RNA is filed under the name uncultured bacterium. Its description in RNAcentral is "bacterial SSU rRNA". The stretch from base 1 to 522 matches the Rfam family "Bacterial small subunit ribosomal RNA", at positions 338 to 873 of the family's 1533-position model. The record is from RNAcentral.